AUUGAACGCUGGCGGCAGGCCUAACACAUGCAAGUCGAGCGGAUGAAGGGAGCUUGCUCCUGGAUUCAGCGGCGGACGGGUGAGUAAUGCCUAGGAAUCUGCCUGGUAGUGAGGAAUAACGUCCGGAAACGGGCGCUAAUACCGCAUACGUCCUGAGGGAGAAAGUGGGGGAUCUUCGGACCUCACGCUAUCAGAUGAGCCUAGGUCGGAUUAGCUAGUUGGUGGGGUAAAGGCCUACCAAGGCGACGAUCCGUAACUGGUCUGAGAGGAUGAUCAGUCACACUGGAACUGAGACACGGUCCAGACUCCUACGGGAGGCAGCAGUGGGGAAUAUUGGACAAUGGGCGAAAGCCUGAUCCAGCCAUGCCGCGUGUGUGAAGAAGGUCUUCGGAUUGUAAAGCACUUUAAGUUGGGAGGAAGGGCAGUAAGUGAAUACCUUGCUGUCUUGACGGUACCAACAGAAUAAGCACCGGCUAACUUCGUG
Molecule: ribosomal RNA, 484 nt
Filed under: uncultured bacterium
Lineage: Bacteria
Description: partial 16S ribosomal RNA
Rfam family: Bacterial small subunit ribosomal RNA
Source: RNAcentral